CAUGACGCGAUGAUGGAGAGAGUAAGUCAGCCACUGCUUUACAGGGAGGGUCCGCCAUAGAUUGGAAGCGGGUCUAAGACAGACUGACUGAAGUUCACUCUGGAGCGACCGGACUGAAGGUCUCCGCGUAGGUCAGGCGCACCCCAGCGUUAUUGGGACAGAGGCGCUCAGCAUUGGCUGACGCAAUUUGGGUGGUACCGCGGAAGUUGGACUUUCGCCCCUUAG
This 225-nucleotide non-coding RNA is filed under the name Anaerosporomusa subterranea. Its description in RNAcentral is "Anaerosporomusa subterraneum T-box sequence". It matches the Rfam family "T-box leader". Rfam says of the family: Uncharged tRNA acts as the effector for transcription antitermination of genes in the T-box leader family. T-boxes are found upstream of many aminoacyl-tRNA synthetase genes and some amino acid biosynthetic genes usually in Gram-positive bacteria. Lineage: Bacteria; Bacillati; Bacillota; Negativicutes; Acetonemataceae. The record is from RNAcentral.